UGCUGAGCUUGUAAGACCAUAA
RNAcentral lists this unclassified non-coding RNA (22 nucleotides) under Mus musculus (house mouse). RNAcentral's name for it is "oocyte_clustered_small_RNA6729". The record is from RNAcentral. Lineage: Eukaryota; Metazoa; Chordata; Mammalia; Rodentia; Muridae.